This is a non-coding RNA of Mus caroli (Ryukyu mouse), 1767 nucleotides long. NCBI's taxonomy places the organism in Eukaryota, Metazoa, Chordata, Mammalia, Rodentia, Muridae. The record is from RefSeq and is a predicted model, not a curated record.
GCGCGCGGGCCCUGACUCCCCCGACCUCCGGCGCGCUUCAGUCUUUCGGCGGUCGGACAUGGUGAGAGCACCAUCGCUGCGGUGCACGGAGGCUGGGGCGGCCUGGGCGGUGGGUCGAGCUGCGGGGCAUCGCGGGCUCGCACAGCAAGGGGAGCAGGCGGGCCUGCAAGGCGAUCAUUCUUGUGGGGUCCAAGCUGGCCUGGAGCUCUCUGUAAUGCCCCUGCCUCGGCCUCCUUAGGCCGGGGAUUUGGACCGCCGCUUGAGCUAUGGCUCAGCGUUUUCUGCAGUUCUCGAAGCGUAUGAUCUUAUCCGCGGACCGUGGGCGAGCCUUCCUGGAUUGGGCCGCCUGGUAUUUUCUUUACAUCGGGGACUUGGCACACAGCAGAAAGACGUUACUAUCAAGUCAGAUGCGCCUGACACCCUGUUGCUGGAGAAGCAUGCCGAUUAUAUUGCCUCCUAUGGCUCAAAGAAAGAUGAUUAUGAAUACUGCAUGUCUGAAUACCUGAGAAUGAGCGGUGUCUAUUGGGGCCUGACUGUGAUGGACCUCAUGGGACAGCUUCAUCGCAUGAACAGAGAAGAAAUCCUGGUGUUUAUCAAGUCGUGCCAGCAUGAGUGUGGGGGAAUAAGUGCUAGCAUUGGGCACGACCCCCACCUUCUGUACACGCUCAGUGCUGUCCAGAUUCUUACUCUGUAUGACAGUGUUCAUGUUAUCAACGUAGAUAAGGUUGUGGCCUAUGUUCAGAGCCUACAGAAAGAAGAUGGCUCCUUUGCUGGAGACAUUUGGGGUCCCACUAAGCAGUUGGUCUAACUGGAAUAAAAUGGCCUGCUGGAAGUCCCAGCAUGCCCCAUGCUGGCUUGUCAGCACGCCACACUAAAAGAUAAGGAGAAAUUGAUACAAGAUUCUCAUUUUGUGCGGUUGCAACUUUGGCUCUUUUGGGCAAGCUUGAUGCUAUUAAUGUGGAAAAGGCGAUUGAGUUUGUUUUGUCCUGCAUGAACUUUGAUGGUGGAUUUGGGUGCAGACCAGGCUCUGAAUCUCACGCUGGGCAGAUCUAUUGUUGCACAGGAUUCCUGGCCAUAACUAGUCAGUUGCACCAAGUGAACUCCGACCUACUUGGUUGGUGGCUUUGUGAACGGCAGUUGCCCUCAGGCGGACUCAAUGGAAGACCCGAGAAGUUACCAGAUGUGUGCUACUCAUGGUGGGUGUUGGCCUCCCUAAAGAUCAUCGGGAGACUUCACUGGAUUGACAGAGAAAAGCUUCGAAGUUUCAUCUUAGCGUGUCAAGAUGAAGAGACGGGAGGAUUUGCAGANAGACCAGGAGAUAUGGUGGAUCCCUUCCACACCUUAUUUGGCAUUGCUGGCUUGUCNCUUCUGGGAGAAGAGCAGAUCAAGCCUGUUAGCCCUGUCUUCUGCAUGCCGGAAGAAGUGCUUCAGAGGGUGAAUGUCCAGCCUGAACUAGUGAGCUAGUCAGGUGGGAACGAUGCUCUAGUGUGCAAUAUGAAUUGCUGUAUUGGAAGUGUUUAUCAAACCUAGACGUGACUUAAUAUUUUGUAUUUCAUAUGCUAAUGAUAAAUUAUAUAAGUAUUGUAAAAUAAAUAUGUUGUAUUUAGAUCUUUAGUCUUCUGAGUCCAGUUUUGUUAGUCCUGUUUAGAGCUAGUAUUUAACUGAUGCCUCCCCAGGUCCUAUUUUCUUGUAACAAUGAUGGGAAGUGAUUUCUGUUAAUAAAAGUGAUGAGUGAAACUCAUGAUUUAAAUAAAGGUCAAAAUCGAG